This 253-nucleotide ribosomal RNA is filed under the name uncultured bacterium. RNAcentral's name for it is "partial 16S ribosomal RNA". It matches the Rfam family "Bacterial small subunit ribosomal RNA", at positions 524 to 776 of the family's 1533-position model. The record is from RNAcentral.
UACGUAGGGGGCUAGCGUUGUCCGGAUUUAUUGGGCGUAAAGAGCGUGUAGGCGGCCGAGUAAGUCCGGUGUGAAAACUCGAGGCUCAACCUCGAGAUGUCGAUGGAAACCGUCUGGCUAGAGUCCGGAAGAGGAGUGUGGAAUUCCUGGUGUAGCGGUGAAAUGCGCAGAUAUCAGGAAGAACACCCGUGGCGAAGGCGGCUUUCUGGGACGGUACUGACGCUGAGACGCGAAAGCGUGGGGAGCGAACAGG